This 510-nucleotide ribosomal RNA is filed under the name uncultured bacterium. RNAcentral describes it as "partial 16S ribosomal RNA". It matches the Rfam family "Bacterial small subunit ribosomal RNA", at positions 28 to 507 of the family's 1533-position model. The record is from RNAcentral.
GACGAACGCUGGCGGCGUGCUUAACACAUGCAAGUCGAACGAAGAGCGGUGGAAGCUUGCUUCUAUCAAUCUUAGUGGCGAACGGGUGAGUAACGCGUAAUCAACCUGCCCUUCAGAGGGGGACAACAGUUGGAAACGACUGCUAAUACCGCAUACGAUCUAAUCUCGGCAUCGAGGAUAGAUGAAAGGUGGCCUCUACAUGUAAGCUAUCACUGAAGGAGGGGAUUGCGUCUGAUUAGCUAGUUGGAGGGGUAACGGCCCACCAAGGCGAUGAUCAGUAGCCGGUCUGAGAGGAUGAACGGCCACAUUGGGACUGAGACACGGCCCAGACUCCUACGGGAGGCAGCAGUGGGGAAUCUUCCGCAAUGGACGAAAGUCUGACGGAGCAACGCCGCGUGAGUGAUGACGGCCUUCGGGUUGUAAAGCUCUGUUAAUCGGGACGAAAGGCCUUCUUGCGAAUAGUGAGAAGGAUUGACGGUACCGGAAUAGAAAGCCACGGCUAACUACGUG